UCUGGGCCCCACCACACUGGCCGCGCCACUCGUCAUCUUGAAGGCAAAGUGUCCAAGAGGACAUGACUUGGACAGCCCACACUUGUACCUGACUGGCUUUGCUGCUGUGAAGAGAGAAAACUCCAUUUACACAACAAGAACCAGGUAGCACAAUAUCAGGUGGCGCUCCAGUGAUUUGGAGAACAGGAUGCCGCGGUCAUCUGAUGUGUACAUGGUUCCAAAGAAGGUGUCUGUAUUGAAACAGAAGAAAGAGAAGAAGAGAAAGGCACCGAUGUAGCCAAAACUGUAGAUGUCCUCGUGGAUUGUUGUGAAGGUCUGCCCCAGAUCCUUUGUCCUCUUCAGCACUAAAUCCCCCCUCUCAUCUGCAUAAACUGUGGUGACAAAAAGCAAGACUUGGUGACAGGAAUACUCAGGACUCUAAUUUAUUGGUUUUCCCUUUGCUUUAAUUCAAUUUUCAGUUUUCAAUUUUAGCUUAAAAACUAAAAAAAUUUUAAAAUCUUGAUUGUAAGAUGGAGUGUGGAUGGAAAGCAAAAUCCAUGUUAGUCAAUCCAGACCAUCCUCUUGUUUGAGAUGAAAUUUUCAUUUAUUCCAAGUAAAAUGAAUUUGCUUUAUUCAAAUAUACCAUAAAAUGUUGUAAUAAUAUUUUAUUCUUAUUCUUAUCUUUUGUCAUUUUUUGUCAAAUUGCCUUUUUUUAUUGUAUUUAAUAUCGUGUGAUACAGCAAUCACACUGUUACUGUCAGAGGACAGGAGCUUGAUAUUGUUAAUGAAUUCAAGUAUCUUGGGGUCAUGUAUGACUCCACCCUAACGUUCAAAAGUCAUGUGAAAAGGGUGGUAAAUAAAGUUAAAUUUAACUUGCAGAAUUUUAAACAAGUUAGGGCAUUUCUUGAUAACAAUUCUGCCAAGUUGUUUCUUUAUACUAUGAUCCUUUCACAUAUUGAAUAUUGUUUUAUUAACUGGUCACUAACUAGUGUAACUACUCUUAAAAGUAUUGAAUCUCUAUUUAAGAAAGCCAUAAAAACUUACGAUAAAAAGGCAUUGUCAUUUCACCAUUGCGAUAUCUUACAGAGACAUACAUUUUUUAGUUUUGAAAAUUUUAAACAUUUUAGGUAUGCGUGUUUGAUAUAUAAAGUGUUACAUGAUCUUGCCCCCCCCUCCGCUGCGUGACUUCAUUCGGAGACUUG
Long non-coding RNA from Perca fluviatilis (European perch), 1181 nucleotides. RefSeq lists it as uncharacterized. The record is from RefSeq and is a predicted model, not a curated record. NCBI's taxonomy places the organism in Eukaryota, Metazoa, Chordata, Actinopteri, Perciformes, Percidae. The transcript is spliced from 3 exons.